This 63-nucleotide transfer RNA is filed under the name uncultured Anaerofilum sp. It matches the Rfam family "tRNA", at positions 6 to 65 of the family's 71-position model. Rfam says of the family: Transfer RNA (tRNA) molecules are approximately 80 nucleotides in length. Their secondary structure includes four short double-helical elements and three loops (D, anti-codon, and T loops). The record is from RNAcentral. Lineage: Bacteria; Bacillati; Bacillota; Clostridia; Eubacteriales; Oscillospiraceae.
CUUUAGCUCAGUCGGUAGAGCGCCGGACUGUUAAUCCGUAGGUCGUUGGUUCGAGCCCAACAA